This is a non-coding RNA of Oryzias latipes (Japanese medaka), 1556 nucleotides long. The record is from RefSeq and is a predicted model, not a curated record. Lineage: Eukaryota; Metazoa; Chordata; Actinopteri; Beloniformes; Adrianichthyidae.
AUUCCUGUCUUCCAUUGACUCGCUUGGAACGGACAUCCCAGAGCUCUGCUGCUUCAUGACUCAGUGCUGCAGAAGAUCAAGUGUGCUCAGCAUCAAAGCAGCACAAGCGGAGGAGGUGUUGGUCCCGUUUCACGGCUGGGAUGGAGGAAUGCUGCGGCUGCAGUUGGACCAGCUUCCAGAAGACCAGAGAAAAUGGAUAAGAGGCAGCAGAAGACAGAGGCAACAGCCGUACCAAAAAGCCGGUCUGGUGCCAGCGAAUCCGUUUUCGUGUGGCCGUCCAGCUCCGAGCUGUCUGAGAAAAAUGUGUCUGCUGUUGAGUCUUCUAAUCUCUCCAACACAGAUGUUGACCGCUUCUCCAUGACAACAGCGGUGCGGACCCUCGCUUGAACCGGGCUUAAUGCCCCCCACAGUGUUUUUUAUGGGAAUACCAUCUGACCCCAUGCACUCCUGCAGCUAAGCUUUGAAAUAAAUGCAGGUUUGUUUUCAAUAUUUAUUAUCCCACUACCAUUCUAGCCAGCGAGAGCAGCGCUUCAAACCACACUCAGUGGGGAAUGGUUUGCUGGCGCUCUGCUCAAGCUCUUCAGUCAAACAAACUGGCACUGCAGUCCUUUUCUUCUCCUCCUUCAAUUUAUUUAGAAUAGAAUUACAUCCCAGGUUCAUUAUUUUCAUUUGGAUGCCUUGCAAACAGUAUUUUAGAAGGAGGUUACACUAGUUUAUUAUUACACCAUUAUCCUUAUUGUAAAAAACAAACGUCUGCAGAGUGUUGAAACCAGAAGGAUGAAGAGCUCUCCUCCACUGUUAGGUUUUACGUCAGUCUAUCAGGUCAUGAGAGGCCGAGCUGCUAAUUGUUGAUCCUGAAAUAACAGCCAACAGUUCUACAUUUAAAGACGAAAAUAAUUUAAAUUUCAUCCAUGUUAUCUUAAAAUGAUUAAGAUUAACCAGAUUUUAAGAGAUCUUUUACUGAUAUAGCACUUCUUUUUAAAAAGAAAGCCAACUCAAAAGCCUUAGCCACCACUAAGGAUGUGCCCAUAUAUUUUUUUCCUUCCGAUACUUAUAACAUAUAUUUCCUCUGCAACUGUGCCCGACAGCCAAUAUUUGCCGAUACCAAUACUUAAGUGCCCAUACGGUGCAUGGGGAGGGGGGUUGACCCGCCAUGCACCCGCCUCUGGCUUGUCUCUACGCCUGCUCCUAAACUUGGCUGUGGACCCCGCCUCUGGCUCGUCUUGUAGCCUCAGCCUUCCCCAACCCCAUCUGGAUGGAGCCCAUCUGUUGCAAUAUUCAAACAUGUAGUUGUAGAGUUAGAUAAAAUAAUUCUUCUCCAAGAGUUCUGGUUCAUCGCCUGUACGUCCUGGGAGAGGAUCCCCCCUUCAUGUGGACAUUUGCUGAAGUUUCUUCUUUUUUUCCCUGGACUCAGACAUUUUUUGGGUUUUUUUUCCUUACCGAGAAGGAGGGUCUAAGGGCACCGUUUAGUUUAGUGUUUAGCUUAGCCAUUACCUAUUGAAUUCUAUGACUUCAUGUUCUUUAUGAUUUCACGUUUAUUAAACAACUACCCAUAU